Molecule: long non-coding RNA, 281 nt
Filed under: Elaeis guineensis (African oil palm)
Lineage: Eukaryota; Viridiplantae; Streptophyta; Magnoliopsida; Arecales; Arecaceae
Description: long non-coding RNA (EGUI_LNC059731)
Source: RNAcentral
AUUUUUUGUUGAAUAUUCUCUUGCAAUAAUGGUAUGCGAUAUAAUUCUAUUCAUUAGAAUGUAAAUUAUUUUUAACUAUUAUUAUUUAAUAUUAUAUUCAUUUAUAUGUCAAGACUUAUAGGUACGGUAUUAGGAGACAAACGACGAUGUUCGCGUUCGCAGCCUACCCCUAAGGCUAAGGUGCCUUCACAUAUUUUCACUGCCACACCAGUAGAGUUGCCAGAGGGUCCUACACUGGCAGGUCCCAAUAAGACAGGUCCGAGUGAGGUGGGUCCGAGUGA